UACAGAGGUCUCAAGCGUUGUUCGGAUUCAUUGGGCGUAAAGCGCACGUAGGCGGUCCAGCAAGUCGGGUGUGAAAGCCCUCGGCUUAACCAAGGAAGUGCAUCCGAAACUGCUGAGCUUGAGUACUUAAGAGGAUCGCGGAAUUCCCGGUGUAGAGGUGAAAUUCGUAGAUAUCGGGAGGAACACCAGUGGCGAAGGCGGCGAUCUGGGAAGAUACUGACGCUGAGGCGCGAAAGCGUGGGGAGCAAACAGG
This 253-nucleotide ribosomal RNA is filed under the name uncultured bacterium. RNAcentral's name for it is "partial 16S ribosomal RNA". It matches the Rfam family "Bacterial small subunit ribosomal RNA", at positions 524 to 776 of the family's 1533-position model. The record is from RNAcentral.